This 206-nucleotide long non-coding RNA is filed under the name Elaeis guineensis (African oil palm). Its description in RNAcentral is "long non-coding RNA (EGUI_LNC016982)". Lineage: Eukaryota; Viridiplantae; Streptophyta; Magnoliopsida; Arecales; Arecaceae. The record is from RNAcentral.
GGCUGCAUCUGGUCACAAGCUGAAUAUCUGGACCAUGUUAUGAGCUUGGACCAAGUGAUUUCCUGGUCCGGGAUGACUCUAGCCAGCCUGGGAAAGUAAUGGAACAUUUGGGUCAGCCCUAGGCCUAAGCUAGUCCAACCCUAAGAUUAAGGUAUUAGAAGUUCUCUCUGCCUCCAUCACUGAUCAAAGUGCUACACCUGCAAGCC